This 2065-nucleotide long non-coding RNA is filed under the name Homo sapiens (human). RNAcentral's name for it is "HSALNT0409576". Lineage: Eukaryota; Metazoa; Chordata; Mammalia; Primates; Hominidae. The record is from RNAcentral.
UACAGAUGAAGCUUUGCUGGCCUGCCAGCCACUCACCUCUUGCUGUGCAGCCAGUUCCUAACAGAUCAUGCGCUGGUACCUGAAUGAGUGUUUAGAAUCAUCAACGUCUUUAAAGUGGUUAGCAUAUCCAGAACAAACAGUGUGUCCAGCACUGGCAUGUGCAUUGGCAUACUCUUCAAUAGAAUCCAUCCUCAUGAACGUAUACCAUAUGAUGUCAUCAGUAAAUUAAUGUGAAAAGGAGAAUUGGAUUUUCAAACCAUAAUUCUCUGGACUAAAGACACUGGGUGCCAGCGAAAGGAAAGGAGACACCUGGAAAGAAGAAGUUCACGUCGGUUUCUUUACAGAACAACUGGAGUUCUGCAAAGUCAAUGUUGGAGUUAAUUACUCCUGUGAAGUGCUAGAUAGUUGGAGUAGCAUUUACCAAGAAAGAGAAAGAAGACGGGGCAUAUGACUUGAGAAGGUGGGAGUGAGGAAAAGAUAAGGUAUUUAUUCCAGACUCCUUAUUUGGAGUUCUUUGUUUGAUUCUUUUCUUUUUGUUGCUGUUGUUAUUGUCUUACUUUAUGUUAUGUGUCAGACCAGAGUUUCACAAACAUCCCCAAAUAAUUACAUGGGUCAUAAAAAUAUAUCCAGAUACUUCUCAUUAUUUUCCAUCAAAAUCCUGGUUCAAUAAUUUGAAAUAAGACCUGGAGAACCAACAAUUCUCACGAGUAUGCUAAGUGAUUGUUACCAAAAUGACAAUUGUGAAAUAUUUAGAAAACCAGGGAGGAGGUAGGUAAUCAACAUUUAAUAAUUGGUUCUUGCUGUAAGGGUAAAGGAUUUUAUUGAAAUGACUAUUUAAAUUCAAGUUUUAUGAAAAAAAUAGAAUGGAGCACUUUAGUGCUUUCUAAUAAGCAUCUGUAAAGUAUGUUUUGCUAAACUGGCAAAAUUAUUUUUUCAUUAGAGGUUAGCAUUAUGGCCACAAAUGACUUCUGAAAUAGCUUUUUGAAAAUAUUCAGAUCAUAAAUUAUAAAAAUUAUCUUGGGGGUUUAUAAAAUUCCAGAAAUUCACUAAGAAAAAUAUACAUAAAAACACCAGUAUCCAAAAAAAUCAAAAUAACACUUACAAAUAGACAAGAAAAUAUAAAGACAAUCUAGCCGAGUAAAAGAAAGCAGGACAGGUAAAUGGAUACAUUUUAGAAAAGAGAAAUGUCAAAUGACCAGUGAAAAAUGGCUAGAUGCUUGAGCUCAUUAGUAAUCCAGGGAUAUAAAUCAAAACCACAUUAUGUUCCAACUUUUGUUCAUUAGCUUGGCAACUAUUAAAUUAAUAAUACCGAGUGUAGUCAAAGGUGUAAGGAAUGGUAAUUUGGUUCCAUCAAUCACAGGACUAUCUAAUGAUAUUUAGUAAAAUUAGAGUGACUAAAACUUUUGUUGUUCCAGUGGAAACUUUUUUUAGAAUAAAGAGUAGUAACAUAUACAAAAUUAUUUACUAUUUAUUACAUUUUUCCUUACAGUCAAUUUUUUUAUUGUAUUGAUGGAUCUAUGAAAUAGUUAUCUUCCAACUGUUUUUGAAAAUGAAAUCCCUUCAAAAAUUGAAAACCACAAAUACAUAUCUUGAAGCAAAAUAGAAAAAUAACUUAUUUACAUUUAUUAUUUAAAUAUUAAAAACAGUAGGCAGAAUAAUUAUACUAGAACAUAUUUAUAUGAAUUAAUCUUUUUCUUAAAAUAAUUAUCUGUAGUUCUUUUCUGGAAAAUGCAUUUGUUUUAGUAUUAUGUUGAUUUUUAAAUAAAGUUACUUGUCAUCUUUUGCAAAGUUGCUGCUUCUUGUCAUCAAUAAAAGUUAUCAACAAUGUUUAGCUUUUCAAGUGAACUUUAAAAAAAAUUUAUCAUACUGUUCAAUUUUUUUUCUGGCACAAUAAUAUUUCCACAGCUUUAUUUUGGUCCCAAUGAUUGAUUAAAAAUUCAAACCGCUUUUUAAUCCAACUUUCUGUUUGAAACAUCUAAAUGGCAUUGUUCAACUCUUGGAAUUUCUUCUGUAGCUUAUGGAGCUUACAUACUAACAAUUGCUGAUGCAUAUUUCUUAAGUGCAG